GAUGAACGCUGGCGGCGUGCCUAAUACAUGCAAGUCGAGCGAACAGAUGAGGAUCUUGCUCCUCUGACGUUAGCGGCGGACGGGUGAGUAACACGUGGAUAACCUACCUAUAAGACUGGGAUAACUUCGGGAAACCGGAUCUAAUACCGGAUGAGAUAUUGAACCGUGUGGUUCAAUAGUGAAAGACGGUUUUGCGGUCACGUAUAGAUGGAUCUGCGCGGCAUUAGCUAGUUGGUAAGGUAACGGCUUACCAAGGCAACGAUGCGUAUCCGACCUGAGAGGCUGAUCGGCCACCCUGGAGCUGGACCACGGUCCAGACUCCUGCGGGAGGGAGCAGACGGGAACCUUCCGCAAUGGGCGGAAACAUGACGGAGCAACGCCGCGUGAGUGAUGAAGAUCUCGGGAUCGUAAAGCUCUGUUAUUAGGGAUGAACAAAUGUGUAAGUAACUAUGGCCGUAUUGACGGUAACUAGUAAGAAAGCCACGGCUAACUACGUG
Molecule: ribosomal RNA, 497 nt
Filed under: uncultured bacterium
Lineage: Bacteria
Description: partial 16S ribosomal RNA
Rfam family: Bacterial small subunit ribosomal RNA
Source: RNAcentral